Molecule: long non-coding RNA, 896 nt
Organism: Ostrinia nubilalis (European corn borer)
Lineage: Eukaryota; Metazoa; Arthropoda; Insecta; Lepidoptera; Crambidae
Exons: 2
Source: RefSeq, a predicted model, not a curated record
AACAAACUCUUCAGCUUUAUAAUAUUAGUAUAUUAUAAAUGUCUUCAUUAAAGUAAAUAUAUUAUGUAAUUUUAACAGAGGGACUUAUAUUAGGCUGUCUUUACAUAACUAAAUUAUUAUUUUAUAGCUCUAAUGUAAACUUUCAUCAAUCAUUCCUCCCUCCAAUCCAAUGACAUAUAAAAACAUCUUAAAGAUGACCUAAACUCUAUGCCUAAACUGAACUGUCCCACCAAACUCAUUGAUAAGGGGGCGCUACCGUCGUUCAACUAUAUAGUUUCCAACAUGGCAAAAAAUCGGAACCAGCGAUCCGGUAUUGACGGUGGCGCCCCGCUGCCAAUGUCAAGGUUUUAUUUCUAUCAUAUUUUUUUUACCACCAAAACUGUCAGAUGCUAUUUUUCAAAUAGCCCUAUCCUACUAUUUGAUACAAAAUCUAACGAAAUGAAUACUUUACAUUUCUUGUGGGCUGCCCACAGGGAAGAAUUGCGGAGAAGGCGGAAAAUGCGAGAAUUAGCCAGAAUAUAUGAAGAAAAUUUUGAAGACAUGCCAGAGCUUCUGUUCAGGCAACGUUACAGGCUUAACAAAGGCCAAUUUCAGGAGCUUUGUCAUAUAUUGAAACAUUGAAACAGGAAACCUCUUUGCGGGGAAAUACAAUAAUUUCUCUGGAAUCCAAGAUGAGCUGCCUGCAGGAUCUGUUGCAACAGCCACUUUUCUGGAGCAUUUUAACAAUUUAUUUGAUUUACUUAAUGCGCAUGCAUUCACCAGACUGGCAAGAAGGGAAGCAAUCAGUGUGUAUAAUAUUAAUUAAAAGAUUUUGUUUAAUAGAGAACAGAAGGUUCUCCACUGAAUCUGCCUAGUAAAGGCUGCCAAAAAAAAAUAAAAAUAUUAAAAAAUUCAUA